Lynx canadensis (Canada lynx) is the source of this 215-nucleotide long non-coding RNA. RefSeq lists it as uncharacterized. The transcript is spliced from 3 exons. Lineage: Eukaryota; Metazoa; Chordata; Mammalia; Carnivora; Felidae. The record is from RefSeq and is a predicted model, not a curated record.
UAUAGUAAAUGUAAAUGGAUAUAAAUAAAUAAAUAAAUAACAAAUAAAUGAACAAAUAAAUCCUUAAUUUGGCAUACGGCUGCCCAGCAAAAGAGCCUAUUUCCCAGCUUCCUUUACAGCCAGGCGUCCCCUCGUGUUUGUUUAAGCUCUGGCCAGUGGCCUUCGAGCAGGAACGUUGUGGGCAAAUUUCAGAGCUGCUGAGAUCGGAAGAUCAC